This 497-nucleotide ribosomal RNA is filed under the name uncultured bacterium. Its description in RNAcentral is "partial 16S ribosomal RNA". It matches the Rfam family "Bacterial small subunit ribosomal RNA", at positions 28 to 506 of the family's 1533-position model. The record is from RNAcentral.
GAUGAACGCUGGCGGCGUGCCUAAUACAUGCAAGUCGAGCGAACAGACGAGGAGCUUGCUCCUCUGACGUUAGCGGCGGACGGGUGAGUAACACGUGGAUAACCUACCUAUAAGACUGGGAUAACUUCGGGAAACCGGAGCUAAUACCGGAUAAUAUAUUGAACCGCAUGGUUCAAUAGUGAAAGACGGUUUUGCUGUCACUUAUAGAUGGAUCCGCGCCGCAUUAGCUAGUUGGUAAGGUAACGGCUUACCAAGGCAACGAUGCGUAGCCGACCUGAGAGGGGGAGUCGGCACACAUGGAGCUAGAAGACGGACCAGACGCCAAGGGGAGGCAGAAAGAGGGAAACUUCCACAAAGGGGGAAAGCCUGCGGGAGAAACGCCAGGUGGUUGAUAAGGGUCUUCGGCGCGAAAAACCCGGUUUAUGGGGAAGAAGAAAAGUUAAAUUAACCAAGGACGCCUUAAGGGACCCUAAGCAGAAGCCCACGGGAAACUAGGU